This 347-nucleotide long non-coding RNA is filed under the name Gallus gallus (chicken). RNAcentral's name for it is "lncRNA (ENSGALG00010007613.1)". The record is from RNAcentral. Lineage: Eukaryota; Metazoa; Chordata; Aves; Galliformes; Phasianidae.
CGCGGAAGUAGGGGCGGUCCGGUCCGUGCAGCGUCGCUGAGCGGCCGUGGAACGGGCGGGGAGGCGCCACCGCCGCGGGGAGAGAGCAGCGCUGCGGCGCGGGACGGAAAAGGAACAGUCAGGCCCUUUUUGGUGUCCUGGAUCACUCUACAACUCGGGGUGGAAGUUGAAGACUCAGAUCCAAUAUCCCACAGGCACAGCUGAUGCUGAACCCAGGAGCCCAGGUUGUGCUCAGGAGUUACUCCAAGAUGAGGAGUUUUGAAGACUAUUGGUCUUCAAGCAGGGCUCCCGUCUGAGCAAUGGGAAUGGUCUGUGGGGAAAGGGAGUGCUGGCAGGAGGCACUGCUG